Molecule: non-coding RNA, 146 nt
Filed under: Pan troglodytes (chimpanzee)
Lineage: Eukaryota; Metazoa; Chordata; Mammalia; Primates; Hominidae
Source: Rfam by way of RNAcentral
GCUGGCAUGGUGGUGCAUGCCUGUAAUCCCAGCUACUUGGAGGCUGAGGCAGGAGAGUCGCUUGAACCCAGGAGACAGAGGCUGCAGUGAGCUGAGAUCAUGCCACUGCAUUCCAGCCUGGGUGACAGAACGAGACUCUGUCUCUA